CCGCAAGAAGCAUACCGCGUGUCGAUGAGAUAUGUUUGAUAUUCUUGGUUG
RNAcentral lists this non-coding RNA (51 nucleotides) under Spodoptera frugiperda (fall armyworm). The record is from RNAcentral. Lineage: Eukaryota; Metazoa; Arthropoda; Insecta; Lepidoptera; Noctuidae.